GAAUGAUGUGUACAAUAUAAUCAUAUUUAUUGUAGGAUCGUAUUGAAAACAGAGAGGACCACACAUGUUGCUAUGCAUUUAUCUGUCUAUAUCCUCCUCUGCUUCAACUAGACUCACAGGGCAACAGCUCUCCUUUUUAGAGAAACACAAAUCUAUCAUCAUCAUCUAUCUCUAACACCAGUAGUGUUCACAGGUUUCAGAUUACACCACACACAGUUAAAUAUAUGCCACUGGCUGGGUCCCUGAAAUGCUUAAAUAUCCACACAGUGAAAUGUAUGCCACUGGCUGGGUCCCUGAAAUGCUUAAAUAUCCACACAGUGAAAUGUAUGCCACUGGCUGGGUCCCUGAAAUGCUUAAAUAUCCACACAGUUAAAUGUAUGCCACUGGCUGGGUCCCUGAAAUGCUUAAAUAUCCACACAGUGAAAUGUAUGCCACUGGCUGGGUCCCUGAAAUGCUUAAAUAUCCACACAGUGAAAUGUAUGCCACUGGCUGGGUCCCUGAAUUGCUUAAAUAUCCAUUGUAAGGACAAUACACAUGCAGACUAACUUAUCCUAUCACACAUUCUGUGACACGGUGUAACAUAUCAACAUGUUUGUUUGUUGUUCUUUACUAUAUACUGAACAAAAAUAUAAAUGCGGCGGCAGGUAGCCUAGGGGCGGCAGGUAGCCUAGGGGCGGCAGGUAGCCUAGGGGCGGCAGGUAGCCUAGGGGCGGCAGGUAGCCUAGGGGAGGCAGGUAGCCUAGGGGCGGCAGGUAGCCUAGGGGCGGCAGGUAGCCUAGGGGCGGCAGGUAGCCUAGGGGCGGCAGGUAGCCAAGGGGCGGCAGGUAGCCUAGGGGUUAGAGCGCUUGGCCAGUAACCAAAAUUUGUCAUUUGAGCAUUUCUCCUUUGCCAAGAUAAUCCACCCAACUGACAGGUGUGGCAUAUCAAGAAGCUGAUUAAACAGCAUGAUCAUUACCCAGGUGCACCUUGUGCUAGGGACAAUAAAAGGCCACUCUAAAAUGUGCAGUUUUGUCACACAACACAAUGCCACAGAUGUCUUAAGUUGAGGAAGAGUGCAAUUCAAAUCAAAAUUUUAUUUAUCUGGCAACAGCUCUGGUGGACAAUCCUGCGGUCAGCAUGCCAAGCAUUUCACUACACCCGCAACAACAUCUGCUAACCACGUGUAUGUAACCAAUAAUGUUAAUUUCUCUACCAUAAGCAACCUCUUAAGUCAUUUUAAAGAAUUCGGCACUAUGUCCAACCGGCCUCACAACUGCAGACCAUGUGUAUGGCGUCGUAUGGUCUGGCAUAAGCUACAGACAAUGAACACCAAAUGCAUUUUAUCAACGGCAAUUUGAAUGCACAAAAAUACAGUGACGAGAUCCUGAGGGCCAUUGUAGGGUAAUACACAUUCAAAUGUAUAUAUAUCAAUACCAUUAAUAUUAUGUAGCGAUAUAAAUACAGUACCUGUCAAAAGUUUGGGCACACCACCUCAUUCAAGGGUUUUUAUUUAUUUAGACUAUUUUCUGCAUUGUAGAAUAAUAGUGAAGACAUCAUCAAAACUAUGAAAUAGCUCAUAUGGAAUCAUGUUGUAACCAAAAAAACCUGUUAAACAAAUCCAAAUAUUUUUUUGAAUUUAGAUUCUUCAAAGUAGCCACCCUUUGCCUUGAUGACAGCUUUGCACACUCUUGGCAUUCUCUCAACCAGCUUCACCUGGAUUGCUUUUCCAACAGUAUAACGACACAAGGCGAGACGCAGAUGCAGACACGAGAGGCAGAUGGUUUGAGCUCUGAUAUUUAUUAUAGUUCAAGGGGUAGGCAAAAGGCAGGUUGGGGACAGGCAAGCGGUAAUAUCCAGGUCAGAGUCCAAAACAGUACAUGGCAGCAGGCAGGCUCAAGGUCAGGGGCAGGCAGAAUGGUCAAAAGGCAGGUCGGGGACAGGCAAGCGUCAGGACAGGCAAGGGUCAGAACCAGGAGGAUGAGAAAAACAGAGUCUGGGAAGAACAGGAGCUGAGAGAAAAACGCUGGUUGACUUGACAAUCAAGACGAACUGGCACAGACAGAUAGAAAACACAGGUAUAAAUACACAGGGGAUCAUGGGGAAGAUGUGUGACACCUGGAGGGGGGUGGAGACAAGCACAAGGACUGGUGAAACAGAUCAGGGUGGGUCAGUACCCCCCCUCUAGGGGCGCCACCUAUUAUCCUGCCUGGGCGCAUGCCUGGUUGACCGGGGUGUCGGCGGUGGAAGUCGGCAAUGAGGGCUGGGUCCAGGAUGUCUCUAGUGGAGACCCAGCACCUCUCCUCCGGGCCGUAACCCUCUCAGACAUCUAGGUACUGGAAACCCCAGCCCCGUGGUCGAACACUCAGGAGGCAUAUCACCGUGUAUGCCGGAUGGCCAUCGAUGACACGGGGGGUGGGGUGGACCUGGAAACAGAAGAGAAAGGGCUCUCCGUCUUGCUUAAAUGGCCCUUGCACAUGCUGGAGGUGUGUUGGGUCAUUGUCCUGUUGAAAAACCAAUUAUAGCCCCACUAAGCCCAAACCAGAUGGGAUUGCGUAUUGCUGCAGAAUGCUGUGGUAGCCAUGAUGGUUAAGUAUGUCUUGAAUUCUAAAUAUAUCACUGACAGUGUCACCAACAAAGCAGCUGCACACCAUCACACCUCCUCCUCCAUGCUUCACUGUGGGAACCACACAUGCGGAGAUCAUCCGUUCACCUACUCUGCGUCUCACAAAGACACGGCGGAUGGAACCAAAAAAUCUCUAUUUGGACUCAUCAGAACAAUGGACAGAUUUCCACCGAUUGAAUAUCCAUUGCUCAUGUUUCUUGGCCCAAGACAGUCUCUUCUUAUUAUUGGUGUCCUUUAAUAGUGGUUUCUUUGCAGCGAUUCGACCAUGAAGGCAUGAUUCAUGCAGUCUUCUCCGAACAGUUGAUGUUGAGAUGUGGUUAAGUGUGCUGGAAUUCAAGGCACACAACCAGCAUGGCUACCACAGCAUUCUACAGCGAUACGCCAUUCCAUCUGGUUAGUGGGACUAUAAUUUGUUUUUACAACAUGACAGGCUGUGUAAGAAGGAGAGUGACCUGGCCUCCACAAUCACCAGAACUCAACCCAAUUGAGAUGGUUUGGGAUGAGUUAGACUACUGAGUGAAGGAAAUGCAGCCAACAAGUGCUCGGCAUAUGUGGGAACUCCUUCAAGACUGUUGGAAAACCAUUACAGGUGAAGCUGGUUGGAGAGAAUGCCAAGAGUGUGCAAAGCUGUCAUCAAUGCAAAGGGUGGCUACUUUGAGGAAUCUAAAUUAUAAAAAAUAUUUGGAUUUGUUUAACACUUUUUUGGGGUGAUGAUUCCAUAUGUGUUAUUUCAUAGUUUUGAUGAUGUCUUCACUAUUAUUCUACAAUGUAGAAAAUAGUAAAAAAUAAAUAAAAACCCUUGAAUGAGGUGGUGUGUCCAAAAUUUUGACUGGUACUGUAUUUAUGUGUGUAUUUAUAUCACUACAUAAUAUUAUGGUAUGGAUAUAUAUAUACAUUUGUAUAUGUAUUACUACAUAAUAUUACGGUAUGUCUACAUAUAUAUAUGACCUGGCCUCAGUUGAAGUUGGAAGUUUACAUACACUUAGGUUGGAGUCAUUAAAACUAGUUUUUCAACCACUCCACAAAUGUCGUCUUAACAAACUAUAGUUUUGGCAAGUUGGUUAGGACAUCUACUUUGUGCAUGACACAGGUCAUUUUUCCAACAAUUGUUUUCAGGCAGAUUAUUUCACUAAAAAUUCACUGUAUCACAAUUCCAGUGGGUAAGAAGUUUCAUACACUAAGUUGACUGUGCCUUUAAAUUCCAGAAAAUUAUGUCAUGGCUUUAGAAGUUCCUGAUAGGCUGAUUGACAUAAUUUGAGUCAAUUGGCGGUGUACCUGUGGAUGUAUUUCAAGGCCUACCUUCAAACUCUGCCUCGUUGCUCGACAUCAUGGGAAAAUCAAAAGAAAUCAGCCAAGACAUCAGAAAGACAUCAGAAAUAAGUCUGGUUCAUCAUUGGGAGCAAUUUCCAAACGUCUGAAGGUACCACGUUCAUCUGUACAAACAAUAGUACGCAAGUAUAAACACCAUGGGACCACGCAGCCGACAUACCGUUCAGGAAGGAGACGCGUUCUGUCUCCUAGAGAUGAACGUACUUUGGUGCGAAAAGUGCUAAUCAAUCCCAGAACAACAGCAAAGGAUCUUGUGAAGAUGCUGGAGGAAACAGGUACGAAGUAUCUAUUUCCACAGUAAAACAAGUCCUAUAUCGACAUAACCUGAAAGGACGCUCAGCAAGGAAGAAGCCACUGCUCCAAAACCACCAUAAAAAAAGCCAGACUACUGUUUGCAACUGCACAUGGGCACAAAGAUCAUACAUUUUGGAGAAAUGUCCUCUGGUCUGAUGAAACAAAAAUGGAACUGUUUGGCCAUAAUGAUUGUCAUUCUGUUUGGAGUAAAAAGGGGGAGGCUUGCAAGCCAAAGAACACCAUCCCAACUGUAAAGCACGGGGUGGCAGCAUCAUGUUGUGGGGGUGCUUUGCUGCAGGAGGGACUGGUGCACUUCACAAAAUAGAUGGUUUCACGAGGAUGGAAAAUUAUGUGGAUAUUUAGAAGCAACAUCUCAAGACAUCAGUCAGGAAGUUAAAGCUUGGUCGCAAAUGGGUCUCCCAAAUGGACAAUGACCCCAAGCAUACUUCCAAAGUUGUGGCAAAAUGGCUCAAGGUCAACAAAGUCAAUGUAUUGGAGUGGCCAUCCCAAAGGCCUGACAUCAAUCCUAUAGAAAAUUUGUGGACAGAACUGAAAAAGUGUGUGCGAGCAAGGAGGCCUACCAACCUGACUCAUUUACACCAGCUCUGUCAGGAGGAAUGGGCCAAAAUUCAUCCCAAAAUUCACUCAGCUACCCAAAACACAUGACCCAAGUGAAACAAUUUAAAAGCAAUGCUACCAAGUACUAAUUGAGUGUAUGUAAACUUCUGACCCCCUGGGAAUGUGAUGAAAGAAAUAAAAGCUGAAAUAAAUAAUUCUCUCUACUAUUAUUCUGACAUUUCACAUUCUUAAAAUAAAGUGGUGAUCCUAAUUCACCUAAAACAGGGAAUUUUUACUUGGAAUAAAUGUCAGGAAUUGUGAAGAACUGAGUUUAAAUGUAGUUGGCUAAGGUGUAUGUAAACUUCCGACUUCAGCUGUACACAUAUAUAUAUUCCAAAUAACAUAUGACCAUAAUAUUAUGUACUAAAGCACACAACGUAUCCCAUUAACCCACUAAAAUGCAUGAGAACAGUAGGGAACUAUACCCCUGAUAACUUUGGUAACCCACUCCAUAUGCGAAUAGAGAGAAGGAGAGCUGUCUGUGCUUUCCCUGAUCAUGGCUUCAGGCUCUCCCAGAUACCCAGGGCCGAUGGAAGAAUAAAUCCACCACCUGCAGGACUGGUUAUUAUACAGUACUGUAUACAUCCACCACCUACAGUACUGAAUACAUCCACCAUCUGCAGUACUGAAUACAUCCACCACCUGCAGUACUGAAUACAUCCACCACCUGCAGGGCUGGUUAUUAUACAGUACUGAAUACAUCCACCACCUGCAGGGCUGAAUACAUCCACCAUCUGCAGUACUGAAUACAUCCACCAUCUGCAGUACUGAAUACAUCCACCACCUGCAGUACUGAAUACAUCCACCACCUGCAGGGCUGGUUAUUAUACAGUACUGAAUACAUCCACCACCUGCAGGGCUGAAUAUAUCCACCACCUGCAGCGCUGAAUACAUCCACCACCUGCAGGGCUGAAUACAUCCACCACCUGCAGGGCUGAAUACAUCCACCACCUUCAGGGCUGAAUAUAUCCACCACCUGCAGGGCUGAAUACAUCCACCACCUGCAGUACUGAAUACAUCCACCACCUGCAGUACUGAAUACAUCCACCACCUGCAGUACUGAAUACAUCCACCACCUGCAGUACUGAAUAUAUCCACCACCUGCAGUACUGGAUACAUCCACCACCUGCAGUACUGAAUACAUCCACCACCUGCAGUACUGAAUACAUCCACCACCUGCAGUACUGAAUACAUCCACCACCUGCAGGGCUGAAUACAUCCACCACCUGCAGGGCUGAAUACAUCCACCACCUGCAGCACUGAAUACAUCCACCACCUGCAGGGCUGAAUACAUCCACCACCUGCAGGGCUGAAUACAUCCA
Oncorhynchus tshawytscha (Chinook salmon) is the source of this 6165-nucleotide long non-coding RNA. NCBI's taxonomy places the organism in Eukaryota, Metazoa, Chordata, Actinopteri, Salmoniformes, Salmonidae. The record is from Ensembl.